AUACGGAGGAUGCGAGCGUUAUCCGGAUUUAUUGGGUUUAAAGGGUGCGUAGGCUGUGCGUUAAGUCAGGGGUGAAAUGCCGUCGCUCCACGACGGAGCUGCCCUUGAUACUGGCGUGCUGGAGUACGGAUGCCGUUGGAGGAAUGAGUGGUGUAGCGGUGAAAUGCUUAGAUAUCACUCAGAACACCGAUUGCGAAGGCAUCUGACGAAUCCGUCACUGACGCUGAGGCACGAAAGCGUGGGGAUAGAACAGGAUUAGAUACCCUGGUAUUCCACGCCGUAAACGAUGAUGACUAACCGUCGGCGAUAGACAGCCGGUGGCCAAGCGAAAGCGAUAAGUCAUCCACCUGGGGAGUACGUCGGCAACGAUGAAACUCAAAGGAAUUGGCGGGG
RNAcentral lists this ribosomal RNA (393 nucleotides) under uncultured bacterium. RNAcentral's name for it is "partial 16S ribosomal RNA". It matches the Rfam family "Bacterial small subunit ribosomal RNA", at positions 523 to 918 of the family's 1533-position model. The record is from RNAcentral.